RNAcentral lists this ribosomal RNA (253 nucleotides) under uncultured bacterium. RNAcentral's name for it is "partial 16S ribosomal RNA". It matches the Rfam family "Bacterial small subunit ribosomal RNA", at positions 524 to 776 of the family's 1533-position model. The record is from RNAcentral.
UACGUAGGGGGCAAGCGUUGUCCGGAUUCAUUGGGCGUAAAGAGCGUGUAGGCGGCCAGGUAGGUCGGUUGUGAAAACUGGAGGCUCAACCUUCAGAGGUCGACCGAAACCAUCUGGCUAGAGUCCGGGAGAGGAGAGUGGAAUUCCUGGUGUAGCGGUGAAAUGCGCAGAUAUCAGGAGGAACACCGAUGGCGAAGGCAGAUCUCUGGGCCGUAACUGACGCUGAGGAGCGAAAGCGUGGGGAGCGAACAGG